AUUUGGAGUUCGGGUUUUUGAGAUAUAAGGAAAAUAGUUUUCGGGUGCUUGUAAAUUAGGGUUUGGAGUGUCUACUAGGGUUUCUUAGAUGCCAGAAGAUCGGGAGUGAAUUUGCGGUUGAUUUUUUUGGUGGUACAAGUUAAGGGUAAAUUCUACCUAUCUUGUAAAUUUGAAAUAAACUGAACGGUUAGAUCAAUAGUUAUGAUUUUCUAAAUUUUGGGGAAAAAAAAACCCUUCGCGAGAAAAAUAUGUUUUGAAGGGAAUUUGUUAUAUUUGGAGUUUUAUACAAAAAUUUAGGAGUUUUGGAAGCCAAGAAAAGAAUCAUAUAAAGGUUUAAGGUACACUCUCUAUAGUUAGAUACUCAGUGUAUUCCCAGAUAGCGUUCUCGAGCAGGAAAGCACGUAAUACGACAACGUUCAACUGAGUUGGUGGGAUCAUGGUCUAAUUACUAAAUUUUUGUUGCCUUUGCCAAUUCCAACAAUUAG
RNAcentral lists this long non-coding RNA (485 nucleotides) under Physcomitrium patens. RNAcentral describes it as "long non-coding RNA (PPAT_LNC014224)". Lineage: Eukaryota; Viridiplantae; Streptophyta; Bryopsida; Funariales; Funariaceae. The record is from RNAcentral.